RNAcentral lists this ribosomal RNA (374 nucleotides) under uncultured organism. Its description in RNAcentral is "partial 16S ribosomal RNA". It matches the Rfam family "Bacterial small subunit ribosomal RNA", at positions 527 to 896 of the family's 1533-position model. The record is from RNAcentral.
GUAGGUGGCAAGCGUUGUCCGGAAUUAUUGGGCGUAAAGCGCGCGCAGGUCGGUUCUUUAAGUCUGAUGUGAAAGCCCACGGCUCAACCGUGGAGGGUCAUUGGAAACUGGAGAACUUGAGUACAGAAGAGGAAAGCGGAAUUCCACGUGUAGCGGUGAAAUGCGUAGAGAUGUGGAGGAACACCAGUGGCGAAGGCGGCUUUCUGGUCUGUAACUGACGCUGAGGCGCGAAAGCGUGGGGAGCAAACAGGGAUUAGAUACCCUGGUAGUCCACGCCGUAAACGAUGAGUGCUAAGUGUUAGGGGGUUUCCGCCCCCUUAGUGCUGCAGCUAACGCAUUAAGCACUCCGCCUGGGGAGUACGGCCGCAAGGCUG